CCCGGCGACCGGCGCACGGGUGAGUAACACGUAUGAAACCUGCCCGUAGCAGGGGGAUAAGCGGAAGAAAUUCCGUCUAAUACCGCGUAACAACCCAUGGAGGCAUCUCUGUGGGUUUAAAGGAAGCGAUUCCGGCUACGGAUGGUCAUGCGACGCAUUAGCUUGUUGGCGGGGUAACGGCCCACCAAGGCGACGAUGCGUAGGGGUUCUGAGAGGAAGGUCCCCCACACUGGAACUGAGACACGGACCAGACUCCUACGGAAGGCAGCAG
Molecule: ribosomal RNA, 271 nt
Filed under: uncultured bacterium
Lineage: Bacteria
Description: partial 16S ribosomal RNA
Rfam family: Bacterial small subunit ribosomal RNA
Source: RNAcentral